This 378-nucleotide long non-coding RNA is filed under the name Mus pahari (shrew mouse). Its description in RNAcentral is "predicted gene, 44085 (MGP_PahariEiJ_G0003038.1)". Lineage: Eukaryota; Metazoa; Chordata; Mammalia; Rodentia; Muridae. The record is from RNAcentral.
AGAAGCAGGGAGAAACAAGGCGUGACUAACUCCUGCUGCAAAGCCUGACUGGUCAGCCUCACAACCAGAUUAAAGGAGGCGCAGUGUACUGGAUUCUGCCACUUUAGACUCUAAACAAAACAGUCUAGGAAUUCUGGAACUUACUACUGCUGAGACAAGACAGGAAUGUUGCACCUCAGAUAACACAAUUCAGCAUCCCCUCCCCCCCACCAGCUUCAGCCCAUACCUGCUGCAGCAUUUCUUCAGUGGCAUUCAGCUUCUCUCUGUGCUCUUCAAGACAGAACUCCAAAUCCCGAAUCUUCUCUCCCUGAGCCUCCACCUGGUCUGUCAACACACUUACCUAUUAAUUUAAAGCAAGGGGCUAUAAUGAGUUUGAAA